Molecule: ribosomal RNA, 484 nt
Filed under: uncultured bacterium
Lineage: Bacteria
Description: partial 16S ribosomal RNA
Rfam family: Bacterial small subunit ribosomal RNA
Source: RNAcentral
AUUGAACGCUGGCGGCAGGCCUAACACAUGCAAGUCGAGCGGAUGAAGGGAGCUUGCUCCUGGCUUCAGCGGCGGACGGGUGAGUAAUGCCUAGGAAUCUGCCUGGUAGUGGGGGAUAACGUCCGGUAACGGGCGCUAAUACCGCAUACGUCCUGAGGGAGAAAGUGGGGGAUCUUCGGACCUCACGCUAUCAGAUGAGCCUAGGUCGGAUUAGCUAGUUGGUGGGGUAAAGGCCUACCAAGGCGACGAUCCGUAACUGGUCUGAGAGGAUGAUCAGUCACACUGGAACUGAGACACGGUCCAGACUCCUACGGGAGGCAGCAGUGGGGAAUAUUGGACAAUGGGCGAAAGCCUGAUCCAGCCAUGCCGCGUGAGUGAAGAAGGUCUUCGGAUUGUAAAGCACUUUAAGUUGGGAGGAAGGGCAGUAAGUUAAUACCUUGCUGUUUUGACGUUACCAACAGAAUAAGCAACGGCUAACUUCGUG